Molecule: small RNA, 1648 nt
Filed under: Histoplasma capsulatum
Lineage: Eukaryota; Fungi; Ascomycota; Eurotiomycetes; Onygenales; Ajellomycetaceae
Also listed under: 1 other name
Description: hypothetical RNA
Source: RNAcentral
UGUGCAUUUUGUUUGUAGGCAAACCCUGGCUUUUUGGGGUCUAACUAUUGAUAUUGUCGGCGUGGAGGAAUGUCACCUCGCCACAGCCUCAGACAUUGGCUCCCGGAUGAGAAAACAGAUCGGACAAGAAACAUUUGAAUUGCACGACUCUCAUUCUUUUUAUUUUGAUUUUAUCCCAGCAUCAAAGAUGUGCAAGCUGAUGUUCCUUCUUAUGUGAUACGUCUCUUGCCUACGAGGAACUUGUCGUCGGUGCACGCAGAGCACUAGUAUCAGUACUCUGUCAAGCCCGAUAUUUGCGAAGAAGAUGAUAUGAGCGGAGGAAAAUAGAAUGAAGAGUGACAGCUGGCUUGGAAUAUCACUGUCAUCCAUGCCUAUCCUCUGUGCCUGAUGAGCAGCUCCAAUCGAUUGCCCAAUGCUUUUGCUUCGGCUAGACAUUGCGUAUUUCACAGCAUCAAUUAUGAACCCGCUGGAUGAAACAACCCUCCAGCCCCCCAGGACCACGUCUGCUAUCUUGCUGCUCUUUGCGGUACUUUUUGAUCAAUGAAAGAUUUCGAUCUCGUGAGCACUACUAUCCGCGCAGUAGCAGUGUUUAACCACGAAGCCAAGAACACCAGAGAUGGCUGGCUUCCCGGGUCACUAAGAAAAUCCUUCUCAAAAGCUGGACAAGAGAGGGUGUGAUUUUCACGGCCACACAGUGGUCAUCAGUGAGCUUCGAAAUCGUGACUCUUUGGACGACCUCUGGCACUACGCGGCGAGGUUGUCCCGUCGUAAUCUUGGAAACAUGCUCCCGCUUGCAGAAGAUAAUCGCGCGCGUUUCUCGGAUUGAUGGAGAUCAGCCACGGCCACCUGGACGCCGUUAUUCCCGAUUCCUUCAGCCACACCAUUCGGCGUCGCUUUUCGGUUUUUCUAAGGCUACCUACGAUGUAACCAACUUCGGCCACACACGAGGAGGCCAGGUGGCAGGCCUCCUAGGAGUAUUUUCUGGGAGUGGUGUGCUGAGAUAGGAGCAAUCCGGCAGUUUUGUUCACUUGAUCUUCCCCCUUGAGCUCCGCCGCUCCUCGGAAAUGGAGCUGAUCAACGAGGCCCAUUCCUGAGCACCUCUGCGUUGGGGAUUUCUCAAACUCGCGGGCCGCGUGUUCGUAGGGUCGUCGCCAAAUCAUUCUCGGAAGCAGAAUUUGGGUGAGACUGCUCGUAUGAAAGAUGUGGUUGAGGUGUGGCGUUUUUCCAUUUAGCAAGAUCCUUGUGUGAAUUUGACUGGAUUGUCUGCAGAGGGCUUGAACCCAACCACCUAACCACUCAACAUACCAGCCUUGAUCCUUUGAAGAUAUUCAGCCAAAGCAAGAGAAAAUGCGCGAUAAUCAAUCAUACAUGACCCAAGUUGGGGCAAUAAUUUAUAAGAGAGAUCUCUCAGAAGCGGAUUGAAUGAUAAAGCCAAAUCAGAGAGGCAAGCUCCGAAUCUUAGAGCAGAAAGAUAUCAACGAUCCCAACAGCCCGUAAUUAAGUGACGAUGUAGAAUCUGAAGGCUGAACCCAGAUGAAUUUAAGCUUGAUGUCUCCUUCUAGGCCAUUUUCUCCUACGCCCCUUUUUCUCUUCUCUCAAACAUCCAGAAACCCAUCACUAAUAUGCGUACCCAAAUAAACACAAUCCU